This 526-nucleotide ribosomal RNA is filed under the name Phoxinus sp. 2 LC-2017. RNAcentral describes it as "partial 16S ribosomal RNA". It matches the Rfam family "Bacterial large subunit ribosomal RNA", at positions 1946 to 2619 of the family's 2925-position model. The record is from RNAcentral. Lineage: Eukaryota; Metazoa; Chordata; Actinopteri; Cypriniformes; Leuciscidae.
CCGUGCAAAGGUAGCGCAAUCACUUGUCUCUUAAAUAGAGACCUGUAUGAAUGGCUAGACGAGGGCUUAACUGUCUCCCUCCUCCGGUCAGUGAAAUUGAUCUAUCCGUGCAGAAGCGGGUAUAAAUACACAAGACGAGAAGACCCUUUGGAGCUUAAGGUACAAACUUAACCACGUUAAACGACUUCACAAAGAGCAAGAACUUAGUGGCGAUGAGACUUUACCUUCGGUUGGGGCGACCAUGGAGGAGAAACAAGCCUCCAAGUGGGCCGGGCCAAACCCCCUCCCCUAAAGCCGAGAGAUACAUCUCUAGGCCGCAGAACAUCUGACCAAAAAUGAUCCGACUAUAAAGUCGACCAACGGACCAAGUUACCCAAGGGAUAACAGCGCAAUCCCCUCCCAGAGUCCAUAUCUACGAGGGGGUUUACGACCUCGAUGUUGGAUCAGGACAUCCUAAUGGUGCAGCCGCUAUUAAGGGUUCGUUUGUUCAACGAUUAAAGUCCUACGUGAUCUGAGUUCAGACCGG